UGAUUAUUAUUAUCUUUCACAACAUUAUAAUCAUUUAGAGUUCACAUAACGACAAUCCUUCCUUAUCUCCCCUUGGUCACCGGUGAGAGGGUUGGUCUCGGACAAGAGCCUGACACCGCGUGAGAAUUGUUCAUGGAAGUAACCAUUGUCCGCAGCCAUCUUGGCCACAAAAGGUGCCGUCCUCGGGUCGCUGGCUAGCUCAUCAUCGAUGACCAGGAGCCCUCUAUGAGCCAUGAUGUUCUUGUAAUACAUAUUGUCCACAACCAUGGGAGUCUCACGGUCAUUAAAUUUUUUGACAGAAAAUACACAAAUACAAGUAACAAAAAAUUUAACCAAACAAUAACAGGAUAAAAGAAAAAAAAGCAACACCGAACUACCAGUCGAAAAACUGAAGUCGAAGCUUAACCAAAACCGAGCAUUUCCAAAUGGUGAUGAUAUAUGUGAUGAAACAUGAGACCACGUCUUGGUAAUUUUGGCUUCCUUGCAACGCUGCUCCAAUUGAUUGGUACUACCUCCAGAAAACUUUGCAAACUCAGUCGUCGGAAACCACAUCUCCCAACUACCACCGGCAGUAGGAAACACUGAUCUCUAAGAACCACACACCUCUCCAACAAGUAACUCCAAAAGCGCUAUCUGGAAAGACCCGCCUAGACUUCAAGUAGCCACACUUAUUUGGUUCGACCUCGGAAACUAACGCGAGCCACAACAAAAAACAGGUACGGUGAGAGCCACAUUUUGAUGUCGUUCUUCCAAACCUACAACACGGACCGAAGAUCAACCCACCGAUGCGAGAAAGGGAUCUAACAGUGGUGUUGGAAUGAUCAAUCUUCACACGAGCCUCCCACGAAGAACCGUCACUCCAAUGAUCAAAAGGAGCUCCGAGUAAACUGCCUCGCGCUAACACUGAGAACCGGAGCUAGCUCCACGGAGCUCACAAUGUAUGACUGGUUAGUUGCUAACGCUAAUAUUAUGAGUCACAGUACAAGCCCCUAUAGUUUUCUAAUUAUCUUUUUAAUUGUUUGAGUAAAUCAAGGUUUAGAAAUGCCUUUCUCUGAUAUACUUUAGUAGUAUAUAUUAACUCCCAUCCUCUACCUUUUUGGCCAAAAAGAUGCACCUAAUCCCUCGUAUAGAUUAACGCCUACACACAUUAAAAUAAAACUUUUAAAUCAGUCAAAUUAAAUUCAAGAAAUAGAUACUCAAAUCAUACAACAAAGCCAACUCCACGAUAAAUUAUCCAACGAAUGAAAAGAAGUCGACCGCAUAAUAUCAAACUGUUAAGUUAAGAUAGAGUAUCACUGACCCAACAAGCACAUAUAACAGCCACUGAAAAAAGGUUAGAAAAAAAAAGUUGAAUCGGACUCCUAAAAACCGAAAAAUAUAGAUUGGAAGAAAGAUAAAUAUCGAUUAACUCAUUUUUGUUUUUUUUUAUGAUUUAGUUUUUAAUCUGUGUAUACUUUGGUGAAGUAGUACACUAGUACUACAUAUGUUAAUAGGUUAGGUAUAGUAGUUUGGGACUCUAUCCACUACUGUGUUUCUCUUGUCGGGGAUCCUAUGAAUUCCCAGUUGCCACCGCAAUAGGUAACCGAGAGUUAAAUGCAACCAUUUUUUUCAAAAAAAAAGAGAGUUAAAUGCAACCAGCCUUUUUAUUAUACUCUAUGUCAUAGUGUAUGUAAUUUGAUUUAUGAGAUUGAUAUCCCCAAAUUUUGGUCGGUCCAUGAACUGUUAUUCCAUGUGCACAUGCUGUUUUAACGCUAUUGACCUUGACAGUCCAUAUCUUAGGCUAGAUAAUCUAAUGACCACAAUGUAUGGCGUUAUUAUAGAUAACCGAUGAUUAUGGUCUAUUAAGGCAUUUUCAUCCCUAUUCCAUUUUUUCUUUUAAAAUAGAAUAAAAGUGAAUAUAGACUAAGGAAUGCUCCAACCCAACUCUAUAUCUCACUCCAUAAUGAAAUUUACUCUAUAAAUGAAGUAAUCUAUUUUUUGUCUGUUCAUCACUCCAUUAUGGAGUAGGAAAUGAAGUAGGGUUAGGGUAAUUUUACUCAAUUUUUAUUUUUACUCUAUUUUGGAGAAAAAAAUGGAGUUUUACAUUCGAGAUACUCUUAAUUACAUUGCAACUAUAAUUGUGUCAGUUAAAAUAACUGACUUUGAAUAUAUUUCCUUUUAGCAAUCACCUUGUUUAAUAUCAGUAUUUUUUUAUGGAUUGCCAUCUCAAGUGUUACUCCGAUCAGACUUCUUAUGUCAAUAAAUGGAUCAAAUAAUAAAUAUUCUUUUACUAUAGAUGACUGAACUCAGUGAACUCGGGCGCGAAUAUGAUGAAGGGUUUUGUGAAAGAACUCUCCGUACAAAAAACAAGAAGACAAUUUUCAAGAACACACAAAUGGUUUGUAAGAACAAUUCAGUUUCUUAGUUUACACGUUAGAGGAUUCAGAAACACCUUCAUACUUAUUUUUGUAGUUUAAACACGUUCAAAAAGAGAAGUUUUCACUUUUGUAGGAUAUAUAAAUUUUGGUGGGAUCAUCAAAUAGGAUCAUCAAACAGGAUCGAACAAAAACUUAUCAACGUUCUUGUUUUGCUUGAGAAACAAAACUGUGACCACAGCUUAUAUUUUCAUAUCGGUUUCAAUCACAAUAGUAGUUCUUAAAUCUUAACUACAUUACAUCAAUUUUAAAUGGACUCUGCCUAUACAAACAAAAAACAUGCUAUUAUGAUUAAUAUCAUGCCACUUUAGCAACUAUUCUUUUUUUCUAUCAAACCUUAAUCUAAAUAAAGCUUAGCAGUUAGCCCCUAACCUUAAAAAAAAGUUGUUCACCAAAGUAGCCGCACUGGCUAAAGCACCCACACCAUCAAAAGCAAAAUGGGAAAAAUGGAAAAUAAACACAACCGAUAUAAACAUACAUAACACCAAAGCGACUUAAGAUAGAAACACAACAAGUGUAGAACAAUUCAGAUGAACUGAUGAAGCCAUAGAAAUCAGAGGACACAUUCGCUGAACUACUGCCAAACAUGUGCCGCAUCAACAAAUACAUUAAAAUCAAGAAAUUUAGCUACAGAGGUGGUCACGUACUAUUAGAUCGGUACGUAUGGCUAAAAAGUAAUGGUAUUUUUUCUACUUAUUUUGCAACCGAUAUUUUGUUAUUAUUAAUGAUCUGAUGCUACUAUUUUUCACUAAUCCAUAGUUACUACAUGACAACGUAAAACUCGGUUGCUAUUACACAACGUUAUCUAUAAUUUAUUUUUUAUAUGAAAAAUUUCCUAUGAUAGCAUUUUAAAAUUUUUAUCACAAAAAUUGAUUUCAAUGAAAAAUGAUUAAAAUAAGUUUUAUUAAAAAAUAAAAAAAUAUAUUUAUACCAUAGAGUUAACUAAUCUAGAUUUAUGGUUCAUAGUUAAGAAGUGAGGCUUUGAAGAUAGAGUUUCAAAUUUUAUAAAAUAAAAUUAAUAUUAAAAUUUUCAAAAUAAAAAAGCUAUUUUAAUCAUUUUCUUUAUUGAAAACUAUUUUUAUGACAAAAACUUAAAAAUAACUAUCUGAGAGAAUUGUUUUUUUUUUAUAUUCCUAAACAUUAAUUAAAAUUAGUUUUUUUCGCAUUUGUUUUUACAUUUGAGAGAUUUUUACUGAUAGAAAAAAAAAUCCAUAAUACUAUUUGUAUCGUUUAAAAUUAUAUUUGUUAAGUAUUAAAAACAUCUUUCCAUUUCAAAAAUAUUACUUUAACCUUUUGCCAUAGAUGAGGAAUAGUUAAACUUUAUUUAUUUUUAAUAACUACAUUUAUUUAACUAAUAAUCUUUAAAAUAAAUAAAUGAUUUAUAAAAUUAAAAUAUUUUCCAAUUAAUAAUAUUAAAAUAAAUAUAUCAUAGUUGUAUUGAAAAUUUUAAAAUGAUUUGUUUUAUAACAAAAAAAAUAUAUAUAUAAAACAAAAAAAAUAUAAAAAUUACAUUUUCUUUAAAAUAGCACUAUAUUUUUUUAAUAUAUAUAUAAAUUGCCUUAAGACGUUUGUUAACUUAAACAUGAUGCAGAUGGAGAUCAAGUUGGAGAAAUCCUAUAUUUUUUGCGGCGGAAAAACGCGAGGGAGACACAAGAACCAUCUUCACCAGAAGUGACUUGCAUCAUGGGUCAAGCGAGGAUAAACCGGUCAAAUAAACCCAAACCGGAAGCUAAUCGGUCGGCCAAAGAUGUAACGGAAAGCCACGAACGUCCGAGACGGUUUGCGUGGAACACCCCUUCUCCGGGAAACUCAAACCGAGUUGGUUCAGCCCCGUUUGGCGCAAAUGGAGAAAAUCAGAGAAGCGAUCAUCAAGCUGGCCGGAACUUCCUCCAGAGAUCAUGAGGGAAAUUCUGAUCAGGCUGCCGAUCAAAUCGAUCGGGAGAUCCAGGUGCGUCUCAAAGCUGUUCCGCUCCCUCUCAUCAGAUCCAGGCUUCGCAAAAAGCCAGCUCGAUCUGAUGACCGCUCACCGGAAACUCAUCGUGUCUUCACACAACGGUAACAUGUAUGCAUUAGACUUGAACGAAGUAACUCGAGAUUCGAUACCUGUGGACCUCAGUUAUCCGCUUAAAGACGAACUACCAUUUCGAAGAGACUGUGUUGAAAUCUACGGAUCAUCCAACGGUUUAGUGUGUGUAUGAAGACGUUGUUCUCUUGUAUAACCCAACCACCAGAGAAUCAAAGCUGUUACCUGCUGAGAGCACUGAGACUGUCAAAAGAUACAGAGAAAAGUUCAUAUCCUAUGGAUUUGGCUUCGAUCAUCUCACCAAUGAUUACAAAGUAGUGAAGCUUGUCGCUGAUUCUAACAAUCUUCUCUACGCUUGCGUCUACUCUUUGAAGUCAAGACUCGUGGAGAUGGAUCCGCGAUUUGAGCUACCAACACAUCGACCGCUUCUGUUUCAACUGCUUCCCUCCCGGUCUGAAUCUCAACGGUGUGAUCCACUGGGUGUUCACUCUUCAACAAGGCAGUCGCAAGCGGAAAGUGAUAUUAGCAUUUGAUAUUAUAACGGAAGAGUUUGGAGAGAUGCCAUAUCCUACCGAAGCUAGGAGUUGUCCAUAUCGUUUCAUGGUAGGGAAUCUCAACGAGCGUCUUUGUUUGUUCACUAGUUGCUACGAGUUACAUGAUGAUAUUUGGGUGAUGAAUGAGUUGGGUGUAUGGCGCAGAAUCCGGAUCAGCGUGUUCUACAGGUUUAUGAAACCGGUGUGUUCGACCAAGAACAGCGAGGAGGAGGUUCUGAUGGUGUUUGAUGGAGUCAUGGUGUUGUACAAUUUUGAGACCCAUGCAAGGAGGAGACUGGAAAUUCAAGGGGAAAACCUCUGUGAGGGGUUCGAUGUCAAUUCGUACGUAGAGAGCCUCAUAUCACCAAACUCGCAUGGUCUUGACAACUGAAGAAAGCACUUUGAUUUUAAGUUAUAGAUUAAUAAGACUGGGCACAGACAGUCUACUCGUCUCGUUAGUUUGUUUUAUAUUUGGAUCGACUGUAGGUCUGUAGCCCUUUUUCUCACACAUAUAUAUUGAUAUUAGUUUGACAAUUUUAGAUCUGGUCAAAAUAAAUAGGUAUAGAGACCUUGAUGCGCUGACGCAGAAUGCAGAAUUUUGUUCAGCAAAGUAUUUUAUCUCAUACAAACCUUGCAAAAAAAUAUUAUUAUUAUAUAUAUACGCAAUUUUUUAUAGAUAUCUAGAACCUCAUUGAUCAUAUGAAUCUAUGCCAACACCUUGCUCUAAUGUGAGAAAUACUCUCAAGGCAUUCACCAAUUCUAAGUGACCUUCUUUAUUGAGUACUGACAGAUUCAAGUUCGUGAAACAGUCAGUGGAGACUGUUUUUGACGACUCGCCCAAGAUAUUCGGAGUUUGUUCUAAUGAAAACAUGUUUAUCUUUGUUUUUGUCUCUUUUUCCAUAAAAUUCUGUUGUUGUCUUGAUUAGGCUCACGUUAGUCUCUUCUAGUGUUGUCAAAGAGAUGACAUAUACUCGUAGACAGUAUGUCAAUCCAUACUAACGUAUCUUCACACAAAAAUCCAGCAUCCCUUUGUAAAGAGAAAGUGAGAAACAAUUGUAAAUUCUUUUUUAUUUUUCCCACCAAAUUAGUAAGUUCCUCGCGGACCUUAGAUAGGCCGAGAUCUUAAUGGGCUUAAAAAUAUUUCUUAAAUCAUAAAAGAUAAUAAUACUCACGAAGGUGUGUCUUUUGACCAUUUCUAAUUCAAAUUACUUAACGCGUAGAACGGGACGCGUAAUAAGAGUCUAUUUUCUCUUCUUCUCUUUCAGAUCUUAAAGGUUUCUUGCUAAAUAUGGCGGGAGAAGACAACAACCGCGAAGCUCAACGAGGCGACGACCAUGAGGAAUCGAGUCCUCUCUUGCAAGUGAACGACACCAAGAUCAACUCGAAAGGGGACAAAAAGACGGCGCCGAUUGUGCAUCCUCCCGCGGUGGAGGAAUACGGCUGGACGGCGGAUGGAUUGCCGGUGACCGACGGCAGCGUGAUCGGCGAGCCGAUCGGGAGAAACCAGUGGAACUCCGGUCUGUUCUCCUGUUUCGGACGGAACGAUGAAUUCUGCAGCAGCGAUCUCGAAGUUUGUGAGUGUUUUCUUGUCUGCUUUCUAAAAUUAGGGUUUUUGAAAUUGGGGGAAUUUUGAAAUUGAUUGAAAUUGGAAGUGAUCUGAUUGUAAUUUGUUGAAAGAGUCCAUCUUUUGAAAUGGGUCGAUCGAAAUUGAUUGAAAUUGGAAAUGAUCUGAUUGUGAUUUGUUGAAAGAGUCAAUCUUUAGAUCGUUCAGCUUAAAUAUGGGUCUUGAAGGUUAAGCUUAAUAGGCAAUCGAGAGAAGAAACCUCAAGAUGCGAUGUUAUGUGGCUUUGAUGAAACUUUUAGUGAUGAUGAUGGUAAUGGCUUUCUUUUGUUAGGUCUUCUUGGAAGUGUGGCUCCAUGUGUGCUUUAUGGAACUAAUGCAGAGAGGCUUGGGUCUGCCCCAGGAACCUUUUCGAACCACUGCUUGACGUAUUCAGGGUUGUACUUUAUUGGGAACUCUUUGUUUGGGUGGAACUGCCUUGCUCCAUGGUUCUCUUAUUCCAGCCGUUCUGCCAUUCGCCGCAAGUUUAACCUUGAGGUAUUUUUUUCUCUGUUUUCUUUCAUUUGGAAACAGACAAGUGAAUUUGAGAGAAAAAAAAAGGUUGUCCUUUGAGAAGAGAUUGAUCAACUCACGUCUUUGUAUAUGUUCUUGAUUGCUUGGAUGAUGACGAGUAGGGACCUAGCCCCAAGAGAUUCUAGUUUGUGUACCAUCGUCGCCUGGUUUCGUCAGAGUCCCUCUAGUGGCUCUAGUUACAAAGGGCUGUCUAUUAGCCUUCUAGUGGCUCUAGUUACAAAGGGCUGUCUAUUAGCCUUUAGGAUAGUCUCAUUUUGCACCUUUUUUGUUUUGUCUUCCCAUUAUCGUUUCUUCUAAUGAGAAAUUGCAUCUCCUGAACCUAUCUUUUGUUUUCUUUUUUUGGGUAAAAAACAGGGAAGCUUUGAGGCAAUGAACAGGUCGUGUGGCUGCUGCGGAAGCUGCAUAGAGGACGAGAUGCAAAGGGAGCAUAUGGAGACGACUUGUGACUUUGUGACACACGUCCUUUGCCAUACAUGUGCCCUUUGCCAAGAAGGCCGUGAGCUCCGCAGGAAGGUUCUUCACCCUGGUUUCAACGCUCAGUCUACCGUGGUGGUGCUCCCACCAAGUGAACAAACCAUGGGCCGUAAGUGAGUCCAGUGGUCUGAAUAGCACUUGUUACAUAUAUAAACAAGUGUCUUUGUGUGGAACACGAACUAUCAUGUUGUCUCUUGCUUACUUUUUUGAAUAAACUCCUUCUACGUCUGUAAUUUGUCGCGUGUAAAGAUCUUUUCUUCUACGCACUCAAACAUAUGUAUACCUUUAUUGUUAAUGGUAUGUAAUAUUCAUUUGUUUCACAACUCGUAAGGUGUUAACAUAGGGGUAACCGGAUUGGUUUAACGUAACCGAGUUUCGAGCAAAGCUUUUCAAUCGAGGAAACACAUUUUACUCUAUUAAUAAAGUUGGGAUUAUAAAAGGAAACACAUUUUACUCUAUUAAUAAAGUUGGGAUUAUAAAAUUUUAAAAUUUAGAGUUAUUAAUUUGCAAAAAAGUCAUUUUUUACAUUUCUCUACUUUUAGAGUAUAUUUUUUUUAUAAAAUAAGAAAAUAGUUAACUUUGUCUUAGAUAUAUUAAUUUAUAUUUAAAAAUUCGGUGUUUAUAUUUCGGUUUUUGGUUCUACUAUAUGGUGUAUACGAUAUAUGUUUCAUAGAAUUUAAAUGUAAUUUUAGAUAUAAUUUUACUAAAUAUUAUUAAAAAUAUAUUGAAGUGUAGAAAUAUAUAUGGUUUCAUUGUGAAUUUAAAACAAAUCUAUAUUGUUAUUUGUAAAAUAACUUUUCGCAACUCGAAUUCUCACGUUAAAAAUUAGAGCAAUUAAUAUCAUUUAUACUCUUAAUGAAUAAAAUAUAUAUUAGCUUAAAAAAUAAAAUGAAUUUAAAAUUUAUUUGAUUAGAUAAGUGGUUUAAAUUAUUAAUAAUAAAAAAUUAUCCAAAAUAUAAUAUAUUUUAAAAUAAAAAGAUAAUUCAUAUAUAUAUAUAUAUAUUGUGUAGUUAUCCGCAAAAUAUUUUUGAUAAAAAAAAUUCUUAAAAAAACUAAAAAACCGGAAACAGAUAACUAAAUAUUAAUCAAGCACAAAUUUUAUUUUUAUAUAAUUGAAAAUAGAAUAUUGAGUGAUUUCUAAUAUUUAUUAAUAAUAAAUAAAUGCAUAACGAAAUUUUCAAAAAAAUUAUAGUAUGUAAGAAUUUUCAAAUGAAAAUAUAAAUAAUAAUUUAUCCUUGUAAUCUUUUAAUUAGUAAUGUAUGUAUUAAUAAGUAAUUAUUACAUGCUCAUGUUUGCAUGCAAAGGGGAAACAUCUAGUGAUACAACGCUUUGUUUGUACUUAUAUAAACCUCAUAUACAUAUUAUUAAUUUAUGAUUUUAGCUAGACUAUAUAUAAAUAUGAUUUUCUAAAAAAUGAUUAUCUUAUUAUUUUAUUGAUUUGUAUCAUACUUUUAACUAGCACAACUCAAAACUGAAGAAAUUUAUUAAUUUAUUGUGUUUAUUAAUUAAUUUAGUAUUAAUUUUUAGAGCUUCUAUUGAAUGGACAAACAAAAUGUAGAGUAUCUCCUGGGGAUUUUAACCCGUUUAUACAAAUGUUUUGAAAACCAUACCAGACAUUGACUUGGUAUGGUGACUGAGUCAAUGGUUGGACCGGUCUAACCGGUUCAAUCGGGUUUUAUUUUAUUUAAUUUAAAAUAUAAAUUUAAAGUUAUAUAAUUAAUUUAUAUACUUUUAACUUGUACUAUAAUUGUGAAAAUAAUAUAAAAUAUUGUAAACUAAUAUAAUUAGAUAAUAUAAUAAGUUAAUUGUAUACCGGUUUAUUGUAAAUUGUAUAAUUGUUUUUUAUUUUUACUUCAGUUUUUUUAAACCGGAUUUUGAUAUUGAACUGGUUUACCGGUUUUAUCGAUUUUUGCCGGUUUUAACUGGUUUUAGAGGUUUAAUUCAAAUCCGGUUUUUAUAGUAACCCGUAACUGGCAAUAUAAAUGAGUCACAGUUCAACCAAUUUGACCAGCUGGUCUGAUCCGGUUUUCAAAACACUAAUUUAUACCCAUUGCAAUUAACUCUACUGAGCCUACCCAAACCCUUAGGGGUCAUUUUAAAAAAUAUAGUGUGAUAUUACAUUGAGGAGAGGACAUUUUAAUAUAGGCCAAUUAGCGUGUUUAGUAGCAGGUUGAUCUAAUUGCAGAGAUUAUAGAUGUGACUUAGAUUUUAGAGUUGCUGAUUUUAUAAAUGAAAAUAUUUGUUAACUUUGCAUAGAAUUAUAUUAUAUUAAUAUAGAACUAGAUUCUAACCCGCCCUUGAAAGGGCGGGUAAAUUUCUGUUUUAUAUAUUUUUUAGAAAUUUAAUUUUCAUAUAUGUGUUUUUCUUUUGUAAUCAUAUUUGUGUAAAAUAUUUUUUAAAAAUUAUUAGUAAGAAAUUUUAAUAAUUGUAUUGAAUUGUGAUGUUGCGUAUCUAUACACUUAUGCCAUAGACGAUUUAGAUACAAGUAAUAUUUUCAUACCCGAUCUAGAUCCACAGUUGAACCGAUAAACCUUGUUGUAAAAUCCAAAGCGUUUUUGUUGAUUUUUAUGCUUAAAUCUUUCUGUUUUCAUUUUCUACAUGUUUAUUUAUUCAUAUUGAUUAACACAUAAAUUUGAAGGAAGAUUUCUUACUCCUUAGUGAUGAACAUAAAGUCUAAGUCACACUCUUCUUAAUUCGUAUGGAGUCAUUCGGAUUUUCAGAGUAAGCUAUAUUCGUGAAUCUGUUUUGAUAUAGAUUGAUGUGGUUGAUUAUUUUGACUCAUCAACCAAGUUGUGGGUUUAUGUUUUUAGGUUUCAUUAGAAACUCUAAUUCUUCACAAACAUGUACUUGAAAAUUACGGUGGGCCUCUUUUCUCCUUUUUUGUUCAUUCGCUGAGUAACUUUUUACAGUGUUACGAUGAUAAUUUAUUAACCAGUAGAUGAAGCUUAACUGGGUUUUCAUUAGAAACCCUGAUUCUUGAUAAACAUGUGAUGGAAUUUAUAUUUGUGUAAAAAUUUUGUCAAAAAAUCGAAUUGGUUAUGGCAGAAAAGGUGAAAUGGUUUGUAUCGUAACCGUUUUCUUUAAAGAGAAAUAUAAUGUGGUUAAUGUUUAAAUAUAAUUAGACAUAGUUAUAUAAAAUCAGUUUUAAAAAAAAAAUUGGACCAAACAUUUAUCAAUUGGGCAUGUUGCUAAUUUAAUAGUAUUGAUUUCGUUAGUAUUGAUUUCGUUAAGUUUGUAGAGAAUUUGUAUAUUUAGAAACUCCAUCAAAUUUAUAUUAUAAUAUCACUACCGUUUGGUUCUCACGUCACGUAGCAAGGUACUUCAUAGCAAAAGUUUCCACUAGAGGUUCAUCAUAGCAAUUAUCCUACAAUUUUAUUCUUCGAGAUUCAGUCAUAUUCUUUAAUCAUAUAUGCAUUAUCUCGUAUUAAUUGCAUUAGAUCCCUUGUAAUAAUAGUUGGAUUAAGUAGUGAUUAAUUUGACCCUGUGAGUUUACUUUACAAGUGAUAUGACUUCUUUAACUUGGUUUUUAUACAUGAGUUCACGAUAAGAGGUCAAGAUCUAUACCUUUCUACUACCAUUAAUGAUAUUUGGCAUUUCUUAUACAAAUAAUUAAACAAGUCUACAGUUUAUCCUUGCUCUAGUUUGUCCUUGCUCGCUUCGGUCUUUAGUCUGGACCGUUUCGGUGGGACCAGGAUACUCGGUUAUAAAAAAAAAAUCUAUAGUUUGACCCCAAAAAAAACUAAACAAGUCUAUUAAUUAGACAGCAAAUGAGACUACCCAAAUUAUUUGCCGAUAAUUUAAUAGAAACUAAGAAUACAAAUUCUUAUAAUAAUGUAAAUGAUUGUAAAGAGAGAUGUGACACAUGGAGAAAUACCCAACUGGUUUGGCUUCUCACAACUAAACAAACACGAUGAUGAUGAUUUGGCUUGUGGCGUCAACAAGUUGAUAAAUAAUAGUUAACUAGGAUAAGACCUGCGUCUUGCGCAGGGUGAGUUUAUUUGUAUAUAUUAUCGAUAGUUUUUUUAUAGAUUUGAUCAUUUUAUUGGUAUAUAUAAAAUAUUUUUUGUUUUUUGUUGUUAUUAUAUAAUUUCUUUCCGAUAGAUCGGAUCAAUUUUUAUUAAAAAGAACGGAACAAAACUAUAAUUAAUACAUCAUGGGUUGAUCGGAUUAGACAUUAAACAAAUUAUGACAUAAAAACCUUAUUUUUUCCAUCGAACACAUUCUUGAAAAAAGUGAACAAUAUUGUUUUCACAGUUAAAUUAUUUUGACUUUUAUCUUCCAUAUGGUUUUGAAAGUUUUCAAAUCAACCAUCGAAUUAAUACAUGUCAUUUUAAUAUUUUUAGUCGUAUACUUAAGGAAAACUUACAUUUUUGUAAUUUAAAGUCGUUUUAAAAAAUUCAAAAUAUAACAUAUAAGAAAAAAUAUAACAUAUAAGGUGUCCUCAUUUUUGUAUUUUAAAGUCGUUUUAAGAAAAAAAUAUAACAUAUAAGGUUUCCUCAUUUUUGUAAUUUAAAGUCAUUUUAAAAAAUUCAAAAUAUAAAAUAUAAGAAAAAAUCUAUUUUUUUUAAUUAUAUGGUUAAUGUGAUUGUUUGUUUUUUUAAUAAUAUAAAAUUAAACAAAAUGAAGAAGGAUGCAAAAAUUGUUAUCAAAUCUUUAUUAUUCAUAAUCAUUAAUUGUCAUAUAUAUGUAAAUCAUAUUAGGUAAUUUCGUAGCUUUUAUUUAGAGAAAGAAUACACACUUUUUAUAUUUUAGGUUAAUAUAAUGUUCUAUAGUGGACAUUAAACAAAUUAUGACAUAAAAACCUUAUUUUUCUCUCGAACACAUUCUUGAAAAAGUGAACAUUAUUGUUUUCACAGUUGAAUUAUUUUGACUUUUAUCUUACAUAUGGUUUUGAAAGCUUUCAAAUCAACCAUCGAACUGAUACAUGUCAUUUUAAUGUUUUUAUUCAUAUACUUAAGGAAAACUUGCAUUUUUAUAAUUUAAAGUCGUUUUAAAAAAUUCAAAAUAUAACAUAUAAGAAAAAAUAUAACAUAUAAGAAAAAUAUAACAUAUAAUGUGUCCUCAUUUUUGUAUUUUAAAGUCGUUUAAAAAAUAUAUAUAACAUAUAAAGUUUCCUCAUUUUUGUAAUUUAAAAUUAUUUUAAAAAAUUCAAAAUAUAACAUAUAAGAAAACAUAUAUUUUUAUAUUAUAUGGUUAAUGUGAUUGUUUAUUUUUUUAAAAAAAAAUAUAAAAUUAAACAAAAAUGAAGAAGGAUGCAAAAAUUGUUAUCAAAUCUUUAUUAUUCAUAAUCAUUAAUUGUCAUAUAUAUGUAAAUCAUAUUAGGUAAUUCUGUAGCUUUUAUUUAAGGAAAGAAUACACACUUCUUAUAUUUUAGGUUAAUAUAAUGUUCUCUAGUGGACAUUAAACAAAUUAUGACAUAAAAACCUUAUUUUUUUCAUCGAACACAUUCUUGAAAAAAGUGAACAGUAUUGUUUUCACAGUUGAAUUAUUUUGACUUUUAUCUUCCAUAUGGUUUUGAAAGCUUUCAAAUCAACCAUCGAAUUGAUACAUGUCAUUUUAAUGUUUUUAGUCGUUUACUUAAGGAAAACUUACAUUUUUGUAAUUUAAAGUCGUUUUAAAAAAAUUCAAAAUAUAACAUAUAAGAAAAUUCUAACAUAUAAGAAAAAUAUAACAUAUAAGGUGUCCUCAUUUUUGUAUUUUAAAGUCGUUUAAAAAAAAAAUAUAACAUAUAAGGUUUCCUCAUUUUUGUAAUUUAAAGUCAUUUUAAAAAAUUCAAAAUAUAACAUAUAAGAAAAAAUCUAAUUUUUUUUUUAUAUGGUUAAUGUGAUUGUUUAAUUUUUUUAAUAAUAUAAAUUUAAACAAAAAUGAAGAAGGAUGCAAAAAUUGUUAUCAAAUCUUUAUUAUUCAUAAUCAUUAAUUGCCAUAUAUAUGUAAAUCAUAUUAGGUAAUUUCGUAGCUUUUAUUUAGGGAAAGAAUACACACUUCUUAUAUUUUAGGUUAAUAUAAUGUUCUCUAGUGGACAUUAAACAAAUUAUGACAUAAAAACCUUAUUUUUUCCCUCGAACACAUUCUUGAAAAAGUGAACAGUAUUGUUUUCACAGUUGAAUUAUUUUGAUUUUUAACUUACAUAUGGUUUUGAAAGCUUUCAAAUCAACCAUCGAACUGAUACAUGUCAUUUUAAUGUUUUUAGUCGUAUACUUAAGGAAAACUUACAUUUUUGUAAUUUAAAGUCGUUUUAAAAAAUUCAAAAUAUAACAUAUAAGAAAAAAUCUAAUUUUUUUAUUAUAUGGUUAAUGUGAUUGUUUAAGUUUUUUUAAUAAUAUUAAUUUAAACAAAAAUGAAGAAAGAUGCAAAAAUUGUUAUCAAAUCUUUAUUAUUCAUAAUCAUUAAUUGCCAUAUAUAUAUCAUAUUAGGUAAUUCCGUAGCUUUUAUUUAAGGAAAUAAUAUACACUUCCUAUAUUUUAGGUUAAUAUAAUGUUCUCUAGUGUUAUAUAAUUAUGGAAUAAUGUGACACCGUUAGAUUAAACUAUACUUUAUAUUAGAUGUUAUAGAAUUCUUUGAAAUAGAAUUUAGAAGGUUUAGAGUGCCACCUAGGAUUUGGGUUUUUUUUUAAUUAAUACAAAAUGAAGGUUCUAAUUUUUCAAAUGAUUCUCAAUUAAUAUAUAGGGGAUUAUUUUCCCCAAGUUGACCACUAUUUUUUUGUAAGAUACUUUGUUUAAAUGGUAGACAUUGUAGUUAGAAAAUCUCAAAAUUGUUAAAUUUCAAAAACUGGAAAUCAGAACCAAUUGAUAAAUUAGUAAUUAGAAAUUAAUAAAUUGAGCUAUGUUUUUAAUCUUUGAUAUAUUAUUCUAGAUCUCGUCGUAUGUUUGAUGUUAGACUUUUAACAUGUUUUGUAAAAAUGGUCAUUAGUUCUGUUUAGUCUCCAAUUUGAUAGCAUUGUAUGAUUUGAUAACAUAUCUUACUUAGAUGUCAAUUACUGGAAGAUGAUAUCAUGUUAAGUUCUAAGAACUUUACCAUAUAUAUCAAUAAAUCAUCAUACUUUCGACGUUGAGUUCUUAACAAAUUUUGUAUCUACGUACCUAUCAUAAUGAUGUAAAUUAAUGAUCUAGUUUUAGAUGAUUUUAAAUCACUCCCGAAUACAAACAAAUGAUUAAAAAUGAUUUUUAAAAACUCAUCUAACACACAAAUGAUUGGAAAAAAAAACUCAUCGGACCUUUAGACGACUUUAUUAUAUCUCAAUCCAUAACGAUUUGAUAUUUCUUCUUAUUGAUUUCAAACCAUUAACAUACAUAGUUACAUACAUACAUACAUUCAUACACACGCAUAUGAUUAUUAUUAUCUUUCACAACAUUAUAAUCAUUUAGAGUUCACAUAACGACAAUCCUUCCUUAUCUCCCCUUGGUCACCGGUGAGAGGGUUGGUCUCGGACAAGAGCCUGACACCGCGUGAGAAUUGUUCAUGGAAGUAACCAUUGUCCGCAGCCAUCUUGGCCACAAAAGGUGCCGUCCUCGGGUCGCUGGCUAGCUCAUCAUCGAUGACCAGGAGCCCUCUAUGAGCCAUGAUGUUCUUGUAAUACAUAUUGUCCACAACCAUGGGAGUCUCACGGUCAUUACGGGAAUAUAAGACUGCGUUCGGGUCCGGGUUUGGACUUGGGCAACGAUUUUUCAAGUAAAGGGCGUAAUCUGGGUCUAGAGUCGGGUCAAUCGUUGGGUAUAGCCGGUGCACUAGAUUAACGCAAUGGACCCUACCAACGGAGUGAGCACCUACGAUAAUAUAAGUUGACUGAUGAGUAAUAGUGACAGUCAUUUUUUGUAAAACUCAUUUCUUUUCUAAAAUCGUGAAAAAAACAAAAACCAAAAUAUUAAUCCUGGUAGUGUUAGUUACCAUGCCCUGAAAAGUUUGUGUUGUUUUAUUCACAUAGCAAUAGCUUGACAUUUUACAAAGAUUAUAUUCUAAUCAGAUAAUGACUUAAACUAAUUACAUCAUUAUCUCAUUCUAAAUAGUAGUUCUCCAAAUCUAUUGGUCUGUGCAGCUAAAAGAUGGUUACUACUCAGAUUUGCUAUAAGGAAUUAAAAGUUGUUACCUAAUAGAGCAACGGUGGCUUCAACAUCGAUGCCCAUGGAGUUAAAGUUUGAGAGAACGGAGGAGAGGGAGUCAUUGUGGUUAGGAACUAGAGUCUCAACAUCACUCAAGUAGCUUCCUCUACUGUCUCUCCUUCCUGUCUUGAUCAUAUCUAUCUUUGGCCCUUUCAACUAUUCAUUUCAACAAAAAAAAAACAGCACCACAAUUAUAAAAACAAUUCCAAACUAAUUUAACCUUAAAAUGCAUAUAGGUAAUAUAUCUAUAAUUACCAUGACAAUACCAUCUCUAGCAGAGAGAGCAACAAUAUCAGCGCAAGAGACUGUGGAAGGACAUUCUUUCUCAAGUGCGUCUUUGAUAACCUUAACGUACUUAAAGUUUCUCAUACCAAAACUCCUCGUUGACUUUUGCUCAGACUCCACACCUCUCGCUGUCUCUAGUAGCAGUGACGCAUCACACGACUACAAAGAGAAGACAUGAACAUAAAUAAAUCGUGUUUUGAUAUUAUAUUAUGAGUAGAUAAAACAGUUAACUACCUUGACGACGCAGUCAUGGAAGAGAUUACGGAGCCAAGAUACGGCUGUGUUACCGUGUUUGUAGUAAAGCGUCUCCACUUGUUGUCUGAUUAUCUCUUCCGCUCUAGGACAACUCUCUCUGUAAUAAUUCAUCUCCAGUUCCGCAUUCCCUACAAUUUUAUCAAAAAUCUAUAAAUGAUUCGUUUUCUCUACAUGCGUGUUAGCGAUUCUAUCAUUAUAAAAAGAAAAUAUUUGUUGAGUUUUUACGGUGGAAAUUAAAUGACUAAAAAAAUGUGAUAUUUGAGAGGCUUUUUUUUGAACCACAGAGAGGCAUAAUGUAAUUAGAGCAAUGAGGAAUAUUAUUACCGAUAUGGAAGAUGGAAAAUAACUGUAAUAACAGACAAAAGAAGGCCAAAAGACAGAAGGGCAUCUUCGCAUUCGCCAUCUCUCUCUCUCUCUUUUCUUUUUCUACUUUGUUGAUUGGUGUGUCUCUUUAUGUGUACCAAAGUAGGGUUAUAUAGAGAGAGUUCAAGGGACUUGAGUGUAUCUGUGACAAAAAAAAGGGACUUGAGUGUAUUAUAUAAUUAUCUUUAUUUAUUAGCCAUAGUGGUUGCCCAUAUUAAUUAUUCACUUUUUGUAAUCAUCGGUUGUUUCUUAAUUAUAAAUUAUAAACACAUAUUAAUACUGAAAUUUAUAACCACUAGCUACGUGAACUCAAUAGUUGUUGAACAUGUGAAUUCAGUGAGACUUGAUUUCCUUUUUCUUUUCUUUUUUUGUCACAAUGAGACUUGAUUUCCUAUUUUAUCCUAUAAUCAUACAAAACUAAUUAGUUUGGCUUUUCACUUUUGUUCUAUUAUAAUACAAAACUGUCCUUUUCCUCUACUUAAUUUUUUCAACCUUCAUUUAUUAAUUAGCCAUCCCCAUACAACUCCAUGCUCCACAAGCAAAGCAGAUAGAAAAGGAGGAGAUAUAAUAUGAAUUACGUACUAACUAAUUGAUUGAAUCGGAUUGAAAAAAAUAGAAUAUUUACAUUAUUUUUAAAUGCUUGCGAUGAAUAUGAAUAUUGCACAUCAACGUCUAGAAUAUGACCAACUCUAUUAACUUACAACCCAGGCUUACAACCAUGCUAAUCCCUAGGUAUAUACUAUAUGCUAUAUAUAGCCUAUUAUAUUAAAUUCGAAAGUUCAUUCACUAAUAAAAAGUUCUUGUUACCCUUCACUGCAUAAAGCUUGUACGACCAUUUUUUAUAGAUUCUCACAGCUUACUGACAUUUUACCUUCCAUGUGAAAUAUAUUACCUAGUUGGAUUCAUAGUUCUCUUUAGAAACUUAUUGCUUCGUUUCUGCAGUUGUAACAAAAGUAGAACGAGAGAAAUGGACUAGCUAGUCACAAGUAUGUAUAUGCAUGGCCCAUUAAUGUACUGCAUCAUGGCAAAAUUAUUGGAUACAUAUUAUAUAAAAAUCUCUAAAGAUAGCCACUCUCCAGUUCCGCAUUCCCUACAAUUUUAUCAAAAAUCUAUAAAUGAUUCGUUUUCUCUACAUGCGUGUUAGCGAUUCUAUCAUUAUAAAAAGAAAAUAUUUGUUGAGUUUUUACGGUGGAAAUUAAAUGACUAAAAAAAUGUGAUAUUUGAGAGGCUUUUUUUUGAACCACAGAGAGGCAUAAUGUAAUUAGAGCAAUGAGGAAUAUUAUUACCGAUAUGGAAGAUGGAAAAUAACUGUAAUAACAGACAAAAGAAGGCCAAAAGACAGAAGGGCAUCUUCGCAUUCGCCAUCUCUCUCUCUCUCUUUUCUUUUUCUACUUUGUUGAUUGGUGUGUCUCUUUAUGUGUACCAAAGUAGGGUUAUAUAGAGAGAGUUCAAGGGACUUGAGUGUAUCUGUGACAAAAAAAAGGGACUUGAGUGUAUUAUAUAAUUAUCUUUAUUUAUUAGCCAUAGUGGUUGCCCAUAUUAAUUAUUCACUUUUUGUAAUCAUCGGUUGUUUCUUAAUUAUAAAUUAUAAACACAUAUUAAUACUGAAAUUUAUAACCACUAGCUACGUGAACUCAAUAGUUGUUGAACAUGUGAAUUCAGUGAGACUUGAUUUCCUUUUUCUUUUCUUUUUUUGUCACAAUGAGACUUGAUUUCCUAUUUUAUCCUAUAAUCAUACAAAACUAAUUAGUUUGGCUUUUCACUUUUGUUCUAUUAUAAUACAAAACUGUCCUUUUCCUCUACUUAAUUUUUUCAACCUUCAUUUAUUAAUUAGCCAUCCCCAUACAACUCCAUGCUCCACAAGCAAAGCAGAUAGAAAAGGAGGAGAUAUAAUAUGAAUUACGUACUAACUAAUUGAUUGAAUCGGAUUGAAAAAAAAAAUAGAAUAUUUACAUUAUUUUUUAAUGCUUGCGAUGAAUAUGAAUAUUGCACAUCACCGUCUAGAAUAUGACCAACUCUAUUAACUUACAACCAUGCUAAUCCCUAGGUGUAUACUAUAUGCUAUAUAUAGCCUAUUAUGUUAAAUUCGAAAGUUCAUUCACUAAUAAAAAAUUCUUGUUACCCUUCACUGCAAAAGCUUGUACGACCAUUUUUAUAGAUCCUCACAGCUUACUGACAUUUUACCUUCCAUGCGAAAUGUCAUUACCUAGUUGGAUUCAUAGUUCUCUUUAGAAACUUAUUGCUUCGUUUCUGCAGUUGUAACAAAAGUAGAACGAGAGAAAUGGACUAGCUAGUCACAAGUAUGUAUAUGCAUGGCCCAUUAAUGUACUGCAUCAUGGCAAAAUUAUUGGAUACAUAUUAUAUAAAAAUCUCUAAAGAUAGCCACAAAUAUAAAAUUUUAAUUAUCUGUAACCAUUAAUUAACCAAAAUAUAAUUCAGAUAAAGUUAUAGACUCUACAGUAUAGUCUUAUAAUAUAUAUAUAGCAAUAAUUGAAUAUAUUGUUGGAAAAUGGGGUUGAGGAUUAGAUAUUCGAUAGAGACAUUUGUGUGAUGUUAGCAUUUUUUUUUCUCAAAUCGGUAAUGCAUGCAUACUUUUAAAAGAGUAGUUACUCUUCAAAUCUCGAGUUGGAUAUGGUCUCCAACUCGAUCGGUAAGCUUUUUAUGAGUCGGGCUGCAGCAUGAUUGUCAUUCCAUGGUCAAACUCGAACAUUAUGAGAAGUCUUCUCAAAUAUGAAAGAUGUUUUAGUAGAUGCUCAACGAUCACAUGAACAAGAACUUACUAAAUCACUUGGAACUUUGGAAGAGUUUGAUUAUGAUUGAUGUCAUGAUAUUUAAGUUAUCUUUUAUAGAGAUACAUACAUCAUACAUACAAUAUGAUUAGUAUUCAAAAAAAUAAUAAAUGAUUAGUAUUCCGGUCUUUGGUCCAAGUGAUCUAUCUAUACGAGUUUUGAGCAUGUGUAGCCGUAAGCCGUUUUACGUCAUUUCGGACCGGAGCCUUGUUAACGUUUAUAAUUGUUAGAAUCGAAUCAUAAAAAUCUAUACAGUAAUACUGUAGAAUAAAACAUAUAAAGAAUUAAAUUAACAAAGAAAAUAUUAAUUAUACAACAAUAUUUUCUUUAAAAAUCUAAUCAAGUUUUAUCAUUAAAAUUGAUAAAUAACUUUUAGAUAAAAUAUUUAAAUUAUUCAAUGUAUUUUAUGCCUAUAAUCAAGUAAGGUAAAAUUUAAUCAAAAUUUUAAAAAUAUAUUUUAAAAUUGCAUUCAACCUAUAAUCGCCAAUCAAUCUAAUUACUCUAUUUUCUUUAACAGUUAACGUUUGUCUACAUUUUUGUCACAUAGGCAAACUCAUGUUUUAUAGUUAUAUUAUGAUGUUAUAGUAAUAGAUGAUGCCUUUGAUUUUGAAUUUUUUUUUUGCUGCCAUAAGCGAAUGUUCUUUUUCUUUAAACUGAGGCUGCACUGUUUCGGACAUGUUCUUGAUGCAAAAUUAAUGCGUUUAUCGAUGUUAAAAUGGGAUAUUUUGACGUCACUGAAUGUUCUAUAUCAUCAUCAGCCGCUCAUCCGUCGACCACUUUAUCACUUAUGUAAUAACACACUCCACAAAACAUUUGGUGAAUUUGGUUUAUAUGCAUUUAUGGUGGCACUGAGAGUUGCUUUUUGCUGGACGUUUACGAGUCUAGACCUAUCUUAUUCAGCAACUUCAAAUCGGUUGCCACUAUUUCAACUUAGUAUUCAUAAGGAAAAAAAAAUUAUAAGGAAAGAUGUCUCAUUUUCUUAUUUUCUAGUUUGUCGUAUUAAGCUAAAAUUUUAAAUACAUUUCAUCACAAUAUGCAUGUAGUACGAAAUUUUUAUAAUGCAAUUUACUAAAACACUGCUUUUCCAGAGCAAUAUAAAAAAGCUCAUACGUAUUAUUUCAGAAAAUUUAUAAUUACAAGAAUUUUAGUUUUUUUGUUUGCUUAAAAAUCUUGCAUUAAUAAUACUUCUGUUUUAGAUUGGUAUUGUAAUUCGUUUUGCAAUGACAAACAAUUCAUUAGUUUUCUAAUGCAUUUUUAAAAGUAUACUCAUAGUUUACUUAACUUGAAAGCAUACAAUAUUUUUUUCGAAGAUUCCUUGGUGUAUUAUGAAUGAAUUAAUUGAGAGCCAUUAAGUUUGACAUUUUAGGCACUUGCGUAAUCGCAUGCGCAUUUGCAAACCACUAAUAAAAACCAAGGAUCCCACUUUCUUGACCGAUGGCGGCUGUUGUCCAAUCCAUUCACUUCCACGCAUAAUGCUUUGUUGCCGAUGCUUCACUUAUCUUCAACACUCAUUAUGUAUAUGAUCCCCCACCCCAGUUUUUCUCUACAUCUAAAAGUAUGUGUUUUUUUCUAGAUGCUUAUGAGAGUACUGAUCCUCUUUCACUAAUAACAAUGUAUUUACUUUCUAAGAUUCCGAGCGUUUUGUUUAGUUUAAUUUGUAAAUAUGUAAUAAAAUUAUAAAACUAAUGAUUUUUGUUUUUAAAUACGAAGUUUUGUUUAGAAAGAUUGAAAUGCGAUAUUCUUGCAAUGAAUCUUGAUCAUAUAUUUGGAAUAGUGAAAGCGGGCGUGGAAUAAAGGUUGAUGAAUGAAAAAAAAUAGAACACAAAUUGCUAACUGACAUGUUAAAUUCUACCUAAAAACAUUUCAAAAAAAAAAGAAAAUCUAUCUAAACAAGAAAGGUUAUAAUCAUUUCCCUAGGUUUCGACGUUAAGUCCAUUGUUGUUUCCGAUAUCAAAAUAUGGGAUCGGUCUUGAGACAUGAAAAAACUACGGUAUAAAAACUGAAUGAUCCAUACAUAUAUACUCCCUCUGUUCUCAAAUGUAAAAUGUUUUGGGUAGUACACACUUAUUAAAAAAAAUAUUUUUUAUUUAGAAAGUAUCAUUGAAAUUAUAAACUAAAAACUAAUCAACCAAAUACAAAAUAAAACUAUUAAAUUUGAUUGGCUACACAUAAAAAUUAUUCUAAACAUCUUACAUUUCAGAACAGAGGGAAUAUAUGUUUGGAUAAUUUGGAAAUUGAAUGAUCCGUGUAUAUAUAUAUAUAUUAUUAAUCUGGGUACUGUUUUGGACAUGAAAAAAGGGUCCAGACUAAUCUGUAAGAGCAUCUCCAAUGUACACCUCUAUAUUUUCUUCUAAAACAGAGAUCUCUAUUAUAGAUGUGAAAAUGCUCCAAUGUAUGUUCCUUAUCUCCCCUUGGUCACCGGUGAGAGGGUUGGUCUCGGACAAGAGCCUGACACCGCGUGAGAAUUGUUCAUGGAAGUAACCAUUGUCCGCAGCCAUCUUGGCCACAAAAGGUGCCGUCCUCGGGUCGCUGGCUAGCUCAUCAUCGAUGACAAGGAGCCCUUUAUGAGCCAUGAUGUUCUUGUAAUACAUAUUGUCCACAACCAUGGGAGUCUCACGGUCAUUACGGGAAUAUAAGACUGCGUUCGGAUCCGGGUUUGGACUUGGGCAACGAUUUUUCAAGUAAAGGGCGUAAUCUGGGUCUAGAGUCGGGUCAAUCGUUGGGUAUAGCCGGUGCACUAGAUUAACGCAAUGGACCCUACCAACGGAGUGAGCACCUACGAUAAUAUAAGUUGACUGAUGAGUAAUAGUGACAGUCAUUUUUUGUAAAACUCAUUUCUUUUCUAAAAUCGUGAAAAAAAACAAAAACCAAAAUAUUCAUCCUGGUAGUGUUAGUUACCAUGCCCUGAAAAGUUUGUGUUGUUUUAUUCACAUAGCAAUAGCUUAACAUUUU
RNAcentral lists this long non-coding RNA (22318 nucleotides) under Brassica napus (rape). RNAcentral describes it as "long non-coding RNA (BNAP_LNC002255)". Lineage: Eukaryota; Viridiplantae; Streptophyta; Magnoliopsida; Brassicales; Brassicaceae. The record is from RNAcentral.